GCCCAUAAUCUAGCCCAUUUUUUAUAUAUAAUCAUCUCCCCUUAUUAUUCACAAAAUAAAACAUUCUUAAUCUUAAGUAGAUGCGAUCAAAAAAGAAUUUGGAGCUACACAAAUAGUACCGCAAGGGAAAGAUGAAAUAGAAAUUAAAUAAAUACUUAAGCACAAAAAAGCAUAGAUCUCUACUUGUACCUUUUGCAUCAUGGUCUAACUAGUCCAACCAGGCAAAAAGAUUUUUAGUCUGCUCCCCCGAAACUAAGUGAGCUACUCCGAGGCAACCUUAGAGUUAACCCGUCUCUGUGGCAAAAGAGUGGGAUGACCUCCGAGUAGAGGCGACAUACCUAUCGAACUUAGUGAUAGCUGGUUACUCAAGAAAAGAAUUUUAGUUCAAUCUUAAAAGAACUUAGCCUCAUAUCUCAAAAAGCUUUUCUAAUCCUUUAAGAUUUAUUCAAUAAGGGUACAGCCUUAUUGAAAUAGGAUACAACCUAAAACUCAGGUUAAUGAAUUUAUUCCCCUAUCAAGAGUUAGUUGGCUUAAGAGCAGCCACCUUUAAAAUAGCGUCAAAGCAUUCUCCUCUCCCAUGUUUUAAUUCCUAAAAUUUAUCAGAACCCGAUACUACUAUUGAGUCAUUCUAUAAUUUUAUAGAAAUGUUCAUGUUAGAACUAGUAACACAGAAUUAACUUCUCUCUAUGUAAGUGUAAAUCAGAUUGAAUAACUCACUGAUAAUUAUCCAGUAAUGAUAAUAAUGUAGCAACUUCACUAGAAAAUCCUACUAUCUAACCCUGUUAACCUAACACAAGAACAUAAGAAAAAGAUUUAAAGACAAAGAAGGAACUCGGCAAAUAUGGAUCCCGCCUGUUUACCAAAAACAUCGCCUUUAGAAUCCUAUUAAAGGUAUUGCCUGCCCAGUGACUAUAUGUUCAACGGCCGUGGUAUUCUGACCACGCAAAGGUAGCGUAAUCACUUGUUUUUUAAAUAAAGACUAGUAUGAAUGGCUUCACGAGGAUCCAACUGUCUCCUUUGUCCAAUCAGUGAAACUGAUCCCCCCGUGCAGAAGCGGGGAUAUUACCAUAAGACGAGAAGACCCUAUGGAGCUUUAAACCUACAUCAACAAAUUUCUUUAUAUCCCUAAACUAACACUUAUUAAAUUUGCUUGAUUAAAGUUUUAGGUUGGGGCGACCAUGGAGAAAAAAUAAUCCUCCACGAUGAUCUCCUAACUAAGAACCACAAUUCUAAGUAUUAAGACUCUUAACUUAUAUUGACCCAUUUUAUGAUCAACGAACCAAGUUACCCUAGGGAUAACAGCGCAAUCCAUUUCAAGAGUCCAUAUCGACAAAUGGGUUUACGACCUCGAUGUUGGAUCAGGGCACCCAAGUGGUGCAACCGCUACUAAAGGUUCGUUUGUUCAACGAUUAAAGCCCUACGUGAUCAAAGUUCAGACCGGAGA
RNAcentral lists this ribosomal RNA (1444 nucleotides) under Ophryophryne elfina. RNAcentral's name for it is "partial 16S ribosomal RNA". It matches the Rfam family "Bacterial large subunit ribosomal RNA", at positions 371 to 2622 of the family's 2925-position model. Lineage: Eukaryota; Metazoa; Chordata; Amphibia; Anura; Megophryidae. The record is from RNAcentral.